Molecule: ribosomal RNA, 454 nt
Filed under: uncultured Rikenellaceae bacterium
Lineage: Bacteria; Pseudomonadati; Bacteroidota; Bacteroidia; Bacteroidales; Rikenellaceae
Description: partial 16S ribosomal RNA
Rfam family: Bacterial small subunit ribosomal RNA
Source: RNAcentral
ACGGAAGGCAGCAGUGAGGAAUAUUGGUCAAUGGACGGAAGUCUGAACCAGCCAUGCCGCGUGAAGGAAUAAGGCCCUAUGGGUCGUAAACUUCUUUUGUGGUGGAGCAAUAAGGUGCACGUGUGCAUCGAUGGGAGUACAUCACGAAUAAGCAUCGGCUAACUCCGUGCCAGCAGCCGCGGUAAUACGGAGGAUGCGAGCGUUAUCCGGAUUUAUUGGGUUUAAAAGGUGCGUAGGCUGUUCUUCAAGUCAGAGGUGAAAUACCGGGGCUCAACCCUGGAACUGCCUUUGAUACUGGAGGGCUUGAAUACUGUUGCCGUGGGAGGAAUGAGUAGUGUAGCGGUGAAAUGCAUAGAUAUUACUCAGAACACCGAUUGCGAAGGCAUCUCACGAAGCAGCGAUUGACGCUGAGGCACGAAAGCGUGGGGAUCAAACAGGAUUAGAUACCCUGGUA